GAUCAGCAGCACAGGCUCUGGUGCUGAAGGGCCUCCGCUGCCUGCUGCUGCAGAAAGCCUGGUUGCAGCACACCGGGGUGCUUUGGGUGUCACAAGAGUUGCCCAGGUUGCUUUGUCUGCAGGACGUUCUGCAAGGUAAUAGCAACGUGCACUGCUGCCUGUUUUUCAGCACUAAAUAAUCCGCUAUUAAACAGUCACUUUGUUCUGUUUAUUUGUUCCCUAGCUAUUUUUCCUUUUUUUUUUUUUUUUUUUUUUUCUUACCCCCUCAUUUUUCCUUUCCUGCUUCUGCGGUGGCUUUCACAUCCUACGUGCUUAUUUUUUAUUUAAAAUCAUCAUACUUUCAUUCCACCAAGCAGAUGCUCUGAAGGUCUCUCAGAAAUCUUUGAUGUUCUUUAUUUUUUCCCUCAGCAGGCCAAGCUGGGAAAAUGUUACCAUAAAGCAUUAACUGCAUGCAUAAAAGAGGAUCAACAGCCUUGCUUUCCAUGAUUUCAGACUAUUAAAUGCUGAAAACUACCCACUAAAUGGUAUUAUUUUCAGUAGCUAAACAGUCAAUAGAUUCUUCACAAGCAAAGGCUGUAUUGCAUGGAAAAAACUGGUGGCUGAUGACAGCAUGAAAUUAAUUCACUUCUGUUUUGAGCAUGUUUUCCUGCAAAGCAGUCAUCCUGGAUCAUUACCCAAGCUGGUCUGUGGGCUUCUGCUACCUGCAUCUUGCUGAGAUGAAAACAGCUUUUAUGAGAGCAAAGGAGACUUCUUCAGGUGUCUGGAAACAGUGGUUCUUGGGCUGGUCCUUGCGGUCUGAACAACCUUUCCUCUGCUGAAGAUUUGUUGACAUGCAGCAAUUCAUUUCAAUUCUUCAUUUCCCAAAGAAAAGGAGCAUGCUGUUUUUGUCAGAUACACCCUGGUACAGCAUCCAGUGUUGUACCUGUCAGGAGGAACACGGCUCUUGCUCGUGCCCCUUGCCUAAGCCUGUUCAAAGCCAUCAGGCUGCGGCAGCAGCUGGCAUUCCUCGACAGUCCUGGAGAGGGGCUGAGUGGUGAUGCUCCUGGAAACACCUAGCAGGAUGAGUGAUUUGUCACAGCUCUUCCUCAUGAUAAUCAGGCAGACAGUUACCUAUUCAUUUUUUAUUAUCGUUAUUUAUUACCUAAUGUAAUUUGUCUGUGAGCUGUUGUCUUCUGAAUUUAGGUAGGGCUAGAUGCAGUGUCUUGGUUUAGCAAGGGAAAAAUGUGGCUCACUGACAGCUGGGGUCUGCUCUGCCCUUGUGAAAAUGAUGGUGAUUUAUUUCUGUGACAGAGACCUCCUCUCCAUAGAUGUUGUCUGUUAUUUCUGUCAUCAGCUAGUGAAGUUU
This 1345-nucleotide long non-coding RNA is filed under the name Anser brachyrhynchus (Pink-footed goose). RNAcentral's name for it is "lncRNA (ENSABRG00000005555.1)". The record is from RNAcentral. Lineage: Eukaryota; Metazoa; Chordata; Aves; Anseriformes; Anatidae.